UUCCCUUCGGGGACAUUGGUGACAGGUGGUGCAUGGUUGUCGUCAGCUCGUGUCGUGAGAUGUUGGGUUAAGUCCCGCAACGAGCGCAACCCUUGUCUUUAGUUGCCAUCAUUAAGUUGGGCACUCUAGAGAGACUGCCAGGGAUAACCUGGAGGAAGGUGGGGAUGACGUCAAAUCAUCAUGCCCCUUAUGCUUAGGGCUACACACGUGCUACAAUGGGUAGUACAGAGGGUUGCCAAGCCGUAAGGUGGAGCUAAUCCCUUAAAGCUACUCUCAGUUCGGAUUGUAGGCUGAAACUCGCCUACAUGAAGCUGGAGUUACUAGUAAUCGCAGAUCAGAAUGCUGCGGUGAAUGCGUUCCCGGGUCUUGUACACACCGCCCGUCACACCACGGGAGUUGGAGACGCCCGAAGCCGAUUAUCUAACCGUUUGGAAGAAGUCGUCGAAGGUGGAAUCAAUAACUGGGGUGAAGUCGUAACAAGGUAGCCGUAUCGGAAGGUGCGGCUGGAUCACCUCCUUUCUAAGGA
RNAcentral lists this ribosomal RNA (526 nucleotides) under Clostridioides difficile. RNAcentral's name for it is "bacterial SSU rRNA". It matches the Rfam family "Bacterial small subunit ribosomal RNA", at positions 1014 to 1533 of the family's 1533-position model. Lineage: Bacteria; Bacillati; Bacillota; Clostridia; Peptostreptococcales; Peptostreptococcaceae. The record is from RNAcentral.